GGAGUCAGGCAGCGGGAGAUAAGUUCCGUUGCCGAGAGGGAAAGAGCCCAGACCGUCAGCUAAGGUCCCAAAGUCUGUGCUUAGUGUCAAAGGAUGUGGAGGCGCAUUGACAGCCAGGAGGUUGGCUUAGAAGCAGCCAUCCUUUAAAGAAAGCGUAAUAGCUCACUGGUCAAGCGAAUCCGCGCCGAAAAUAUAACGGGGCUCAAGCACAGCACCGAAGCUACGGACUCAGCGCAAGCUGAGUGGUAGAGGAGUACUCUCAAGCAGAUACGCGGUGUACCGACAAGGGGCACUAACGGGCUUGAGAGGAGCUUAUGUAGGGAUGAGUAGCGAUAAACUGGGUCAAAAACCCAGUCGCCGUAAGCCCAAGGUUUCCUGGGGUUAGGAUAAGCCUCCCAUGGGUUAGUCGGGUCCUAAGCUGAGGCCGAGA
This 430-nucleotide ribosomal RNA is filed under the name uncultured bacterium. RNAcentral's name for it is "bacterial LSU rRNA". It matches the Rfam family "Bacterial large subunit ribosomal RNA", at positions 980 to 1407 of the family's 2925-position model. The record is from RNAcentral.